Molecule: ribosomal RNA, 623 nt
Filed under: uncultured bacterium
Lineage: Bacteria
Description: bacterial SSU rRNA
Rfam family: Bacterial small subunit ribosomal RNA (bases 1-532)
Source: RNAcentral
CCUACGGGAGGCAGCAGUGAGGAAUAUUGGACAAUGGGCGCAAGCCUGAUCCAGCCAUGCCGCGUGCAGGAUGACGGUCCUAUGGAUUGUAAACUGCUUUUAUACGAGAAGAAACACCCCUACGUGUGGGGACUUGACGGUAUCGUAAGAAUAAGGAUCGGCUAACUCCGUGCCAGCAGCCGCGGUAAUACGGAGGAUCCAAGCGUUAUCCGGAAUCAUUGGGUUUAAAGGGUCCGUAGGCGGUUUAGUAAGUCAGUGGUGAAAUCUCCCCGCUCAACGGGGAAACGGCCAUUGAUACUGCUAGACUUGAAUUAUUAGGAAGUAACUAGAAUAUGUAGUGUAGCGGUGAAAUGCUUAGAGAUUACAUGGAAUACCAAUUGCGAAGGCAGGUUACUACUAAUGGAUUGACGCUGAUGGACGAAAGCGUGGGUAGCGAACAGGAUUAGAUACCCUGGUAGUCCACGCCGUAAACGAUGGAUACUAGCUGUUGAAGCAAUUUCAGUGGCUAAGCGAAAGUGAUAAGUAUCCCACCGNGGAGGUACGUUCGCGAGAAGUAGAACGUUACGAAAGUAAAGUUAGUUACGGACGUUGAGACGNGCGACGGACGACGACGAGGGAGGAGG